AACGAACGCUGGCGGCAGGCUUAACACAUGCAAGUCGAACGGUUGUAGCAAUACAGCAGUGGCAGACGGGUGAGUAACACGUGGGAACCUUCCUAGGGGGUACGGAACAACUCAGGGAAACUUGAGCUAAUACCGUAUACGUCCGUGAGGAGAAAGAUUUAUCGCCCUUAGACGGGCCCGCGUCGGAUUAGCUAGUUGGUGGGGUAACGGCCUACCAAGGCGACGAUCCGUAGCUGAUCUUAGAGGAUGAUCAGCCACACUGGGACUGAGACACGGCCCAGACUCCUACGGGAGGCAGCAGUGGGGAAUCUUGGACAAUGGGCGCAAGCCUGAUCCAGCCAUGCCGCGUGAGUGAAGAAGGUCUUCGGAUUGUAAAGCUCUUUGCCAGGGACGAUAAUGACGGUACCUGGAGAAUAAGCCCCGGCAAACUUCGUGCCAGCAACCGCGGUAAU
RNAcentral lists this ribosomal RNA (452 nucleotides) under uncultured bacterium. RNAcentral's name for it is "bacterial SSU rRNA". It matches the Rfam family "Bacterial small subunit ribosomal RNA", at positions 29 to 524 of the family's 1533-position model. The record is from RNAcentral.